GCGGGUUUAGCUCAGUUGGGAGAGCGUCAGACUGAAGUCAACUUCAUUAGCUUAAAAUCUGAAGGUCAUGUGUUCGAUCCACAUAAACCGCA
Bombardia bombarda is the source of this 92-nucleotide non-coding RNA. The record is from the annotation of a GenBank genome assembly. NCBI's taxonomy places the organism in Eukaryota, Fungi, Ascomycota, Sordariomycetes, Sordariales, Lasiosphaeriaceae.